CGGACGGGUGAGUAACGCGUGGAAAACCUGCCGUAUACUGGGGGAUAACACUUAGAAAUAGGUGCUAAUACCGCAUAAGCGCACAGCUUCGCAUGAAGUGGUGUGAAAAACUCUGGUGGUAUACGAUGGUUCCGCGUCUGAUUAGCUUGUUGGCGGGGUAAUGGCUCACCAAGGCGACGAUCAGUAGCCGGCCUGAGAGGGUGAACGGCCACAUUGGGACUGAGACACGGCCCAAACUCCUACGGGAGGCAGCAG
Molecule: ribosomal RNA, 255 nt
Filed under: uncultured bacterium
Lineage: Bacteria
Description: partial 16S ribosomal RNA
Rfam family: Bacterial small subunit ribosomal RNA
Source: RNAcentral